GUUUCAGUUCCAAAAACCGCAAUACCGUCAUGGCACCCGGUUUUAUAAUUUUUUAAAGAACAUCCAAUAUAUUUGUAAUUGGAGUCGCAUUAAAACAGUGAUCUUUUUUUGUACUCAAAUAUUUGUUCAUAUUUGUAUUGAAAACAUGAGUUCAGGUAGACCAAUUAAAUGUGUGGUAGUAGGAGAUGGAACAGUAGGAAAAACAUGUAUGUUAAUAUCAUAUACCACUGACAGUUUUCCAGGAGAAUAUGUUCCUACAGUGUUUGAUAAUUACUCAGCACCUAUGGUUGUGGAUGGAAUACCUGUUAGUCUUGGACUUUGGGAUACAGCAGGUCAAGAAGAUUAUGACAGGCUUCGUCCACUUUCAUAUCCACAGACUGAUGUUUUUUUAAUUUGUUUCUCAGUAACAAGCCCUUCAUCUUUUGAAAAUGUUACCAGCAAAUGGUACCCAGAGAUUAAACAUCACUGCCCAGAUGCUCCAAUGAUACUUGUUGGAACUAAAAUAGACUUACGAGAUGAUCGUGAAACACUUACUGCCUUAGCUGAACAAGGUCUUAGUGCUAUAAAACGUGAACAAGGACAAAAACUGGCAAAUAAGAUUCGUGCUGUGAAAUAUAUGGAAUGUUCUGCACUUACACAACGUGGUCUAAAACAAGUGUUUGAUGAAGCAGUUCGUGCUGUUUUAAGACCUGAACCUCAAAAACGCAGACAGAGAAGAUGCAUUAUGUUAUAAACAAUAAAUAAUCAAGAUUCAAUAUAGGUAAAACCAUAUAUAAACUGACAGACUGAAAUUAAUUUUCUCACAAAUAAAAAGGACAAAAUAUGAAUGUUUUGAAAAAGGUAGUAAAUCAUACAUUUUAAUAAAUUACUCUGGCAGCUAUAGUUUAUUUCAUUAAAAAUAAAGUAUAAUUUAUAGCUUGUACUUUUUUAUAAGCUAUAAAAUUAACAUAAAAUUAAAAAUCUAACACAAAAAUAUAUUAUUAUUAUUAUUAUUAUUUUAAAAAUAUUUAAUAUUUAACAAAAUAAAAAUAAUUACAAAUUUGCAUGCAUCUAAAGUAGUAAUUUCAUAAUUUUAUAUAUAUACUAAUCACACAUAUAUAAUCAUAUUAAUCUAUGAUUAUAUCUUAUUGUUUAUUAUUUUAAAUAUAGCGAUUUAAUUAAUAAAAUAAAACUAUAUUACAAUAAUUUUAAAUAUUGAAUUUUAAAAUUUUGAUCAUAAGAGCUGCCAGAUUUCUAAAUUUUUAUACCUAUAAUAGUAAAAACAUUCAUUUAGUAUAUUCAUAUGAUAAAUAUAACAAUCAAUAUACUAACAAUUUUUAUAAAAUGUAAAAUAGCAUUAUAGAAUUAUUUAAACAAACAGUGCCAUAGCAACGAAAAAAAAUCAAAUCAAUGACACAAACAUUUUUUAUGUCACUUUUAAACAUAUGUAUUUUUUAAAUCUCAUAUUAGAGAACGUAAAAAAAAAGUUGUAAAGGAAUUGAAAAAUCUCAUAAGAAAUAUUUUGUAUUUAUCUUAAAAUUUUUUAUAAAUAUUGCAAUUAUAAUAUUUCUUUACACUCUAACAAAAAAAUAUAUUAUGCAUGAAAUACUGCCAACAAAUAUUCAUGUUUUGUGCAUAACAAAUUUAAUUUAUAUGGCAUAUUUUUUUGCUAGAAUAUGAACAUUCAUUUUAUAAUGACAUAAUACCAAAUACAUUUUAAUGUAUUAUGUAUAUAUUAAUAUUUAUUUUAUUUUGACUGUUUAUUGAAUAAUUAUAUUCUGAAAAACAUUUAUUAUAGAAUACUUUAAAUGUUUUACAUUUGAAAUUGUAUUCCUGUUAAUGGAUGUGGCAGAUAUAAUUUUUAUUGAUUAUUGCACUGGUGCAAUUUGAUUAAUAAAAGGUUCUAAAUUAUUUUUCAUAAAAAUUAAAGAAAAAAGAAAAGAAUCAAAAUAUAUAUUGAGUUAUGAAGAAAAUGUAAUACCAGUAACAAACAUAUGGUGCAAAGUAUGCCUAUAAUACAGAGAACAUAGCACAACUUUAUUUAAAGAAUAAUUAUAACAUUUUUAAUCUUCUAUUAUUAUUUUAUAAAAUUCAUUUAUAUCAAUUUUCAUGUUUACAAAAUUAAUAAUACAUAUUAUAAAGAAUAUAUUGUAUAGAAUAAAUAUUCUUUUUUUUUAUAAAAUAUUUACACACUCAUAUGUAUAUUUAGAUUAAUUAUUUUUUACUAUAAAUUUUUUUUUAUUAUAUUAUAACAUAAUUUUCAUUUAUAUUCAAUAAUAUUAAAACACAUUUUGAUACAUAUUACAUGCUCUCUAUAAAAGGAUUCAAUAAAAAAAUAGUGUGAUGAUAUCUAAAAAUAUUCCACCAUUUGUGAACAUGCUAUUUUUUUAUAUUUGGAAAAAGCUUAGAAUAUAGAAAGAUAGGACGUGCGUGCCAUAUGCUUACAGAUUUAUAAAAAAAUAUUGAAUAUUAUACUUUAUUCGUACUUGUACUCAAUGUGCAUUUUGAGUAAAUUAUAAAAAUAUGUCAACAUGUCAACAUAUUUAAAACAGGAAAGAAUUCCUAAUGUAAGUGAGAAUGAACUAAGAAUAGGCAUAUUAAUGCUUGCUAAGUGUACAUACUGUAGCAUAGCAGUAACAUACUCUAAAUUUCAAUCAAAUUUUAAAAAUGCUAAACUUUUUUUUUUUAUUUUCUUUUCUUUCUUAUAUAUAUAUUAUAUAUAUAAUAUAUUUUAAGAUGUGUACAAUCUAUUACAAUUAAUUAUAUGAUUGAAAUAUAGAGUGUCAUAAAAUAUUUGCAGUAAGCUUUUCAUAUUUUGUUAUACAUGCUAUAAUCUUAAACAAAAUAACAUUUUUUAAUAUUUUUUGUUGCAAUAUUUUAUAAAUUUAUGUUUUAGUUCCUGCAUAAAACAAUUGUUUCUUUAAUAGUUUAAAAAGCACAAUUGAAAACAUUAUUAUUGUUCUAAACAAAAGGAACUAAGCUUAGAAAUUUUUUAUAUUAUGUACAUAAGUACAUAAAUGAUAUACAUACAUUUAUUAUAUGAAAUAAUCAAAUACUAGCAGUAUGUUAUAUAGAAAUUGUACGUAAAAAUUUGCAUUUAUUGUAAGUAGUGCAUUUAUUUUACAGUUAUUAUAUAAAGAUAAAAUUUAUCAUAUAAAAAUUAAUUAAAAAUAAGAAUAAAACAAAGCACAAUUUUUUAAAUAGUAUUUAAAUGACAUUUAAUUUUUAAGAUUAAUAUGAGAAAUUUUUUUGCAGUAUUAUGAUGUAAAUAAAAAUUUUAAGCUAUUACUUCAAAAUUUACUACUUAUACCUGAAAAUUUUCUUAUAUACUUAAACGCAUAUUUAUUCACAUUUUAUUAUAAUAAGAAUUAUUAAUUAUAACUUUAAGUGAGAAAAAAAAUUAAAUUCAGGCAGCUAGUAUUAAAAAUACAAGUAAAUUAUUUUUUAAUUUGUAUAUAUGAUAUUUUUUAUUUCUCAAAUUUUUCAAAAAUUCUCAAAAAAUUUUUAAUAAUGUAAUAAAUCCAUACAGGUUGGUAAGAUGAAUUACACUACUUACAACUUGUGCAUUUAAUGAAAAAUAUUUAAUAUUAACAUUGUCCUUUUUUUUCUUUUUUGUUUUUUUUUCUUUUUUCUUUUUUUUUAUAAUAAGAAAGUAACAGUAAUGAAUGCUAUAAACCAAAGUUGAAUGUUACUUCUAAUGUUACUUAUAAUAAUCUUCAUUACAUAUUAUUGCAUAGAAAAAAUUAAUGUAUGAAAUGUAAAAAUAUUCUAGUCAUCAAAAAUCUGAUUUUAUUUGUAAAGGAAAUAUGUUUUAUUGAAAUUUAUAUUCAAUUUACAUUUAAUUAAAAAAUAUUUUUUAUUAAAAAAAAAAUAAUCAAAUUAAAAUAAUAAAAUAAAUAACAUGAAAGUAUUGAUCUAAUUUAAGAUAUCAAUUUAAGUGAUGCAGAAUAAACCAAACAAGGAUAAGAAAACAUUAGAAAUACAAUAUAUGUACAUGUAUUAAGUAAAUUUAAUCACCAGUAUAUCUUAGAAAUAACAUUAUCUAUUUUCUUAAAAUUUCUGUAAAAUUUCUAAUUUCUGUACUAAUAAAACAGCACAAGAGGAUAAUAUAUUAAUAUAAAUAAUAUUUUAUUUAUAUUUCAUGCAUAAUUAAUAAUAUUAAAUUAAACAAUUUAUUUAAAUUAUGUUAUUAUAUCAUAUAAAAAUUGAAUUUUGAAUAAUUAAGUAUUCUAUUUUCAUAAACUCUGAACUCAGAACUCUUUUGCUGUUAGUACAAAACUGAAUAUAAAGAAAAAAAUUAAAAAACUACUUUUAACACUAUCCUAUUUUCUUAAAAAAAAUUCAAAUUACAAUGUUGAAUAAUAAUCAAAAUGUAACUGCAAUAUAAAUGCAUGUUUUACAUACCACUUGCAUUUAUAUUUUAUUUUUAUUUAUGUGUAUUUUGAAAAAAACUUCUUAAAAUAAAGUACACAAAAUGAAAAAUAGUUAAUUUUUAAUUAAGAUCCCAUUAUAAUUUAUUUAAUUAACAAAAAUUAUGAUUUAAUUUUUGUUUAUAGUUAUCAAAGUUAUAUUAAAACAUUUGAAAAUAAAAAUAUUCGUAAAAUAUAAUAUAUUAAAAAUUAAAUAAUAAUAUAAAUAAAAUGAAUUAUUUAUAUUAUUUAUAUAUAAUUGGUUCUAAAUAAAUGAUUUAUAUGGGAUUCUAUAAAAAUAACAUUUUUCCGAUUAUUAAAAUUAUGAAGACAAAAUAAACUAAUAUAUCAUUUUUGUCAUAAUAAUAUAUGUAUAAUGUAUUUAUUAAAUAAAAGAAUUAUAUAAAGAUUUAUAUUGUAAAAAUAUAAAUGACAGAAAAAAAAUUUUUAUAAAUUAAUAAAUAAAAUGUAAUUUCAAUAUAAAAAAAGUAAUGUAUGAUAAAUAAUAAAGAUAAACGAAAAAAUGACUUUUUUAAAAUGUAUAUUUAAUUUUUAUCUAAAAUUUAUCUUAAAAAUUUUACAUCUAAUAAUGAAUGAAUCUUUUAUAAAAAUCGAUAUAUUAAAAAAUUAAUUUAUUUAAUACAUAUUGAUUUUAAAUUUUUAUUCAAAAAUAACUCAUUUUAUCAAUAACAAAAAAAAUGUUUAAAAAUUUCUUUUCUGUUAAAAAAUUAAAUUAAAUAUAAAUAUUUAAUUAGAUAUUUAGCUUGGCACUAUAUUUUAAAAUAUAAAAUUCAUAAACAUUGCAUAUAGUAUAAAAAUAGCUUCAUGAUCUAAUGUGAAAUACUGCUACAAUACCUAACCUUUUAAACGUUUGUUAAAACGUUUUUGAAAUAUGUUACAUUGGAUAAUUUUUAAUGUAAUACGAAGAACAGUAUGUACAAAUGUGCAAAUAUUUUACACAUUAAAAAAUAUAUCGGAGUUUAAUUCUAAACGUUAUAAUUUAUAUAUAAAUUAUUUAUAUCCACAAAAUUUUGUACCUGUAACAUUUAUAAGAUUCAAUAGCAAAAAAAUGAUUUCAAAACAAAAUAGAUACAAAGAAAAUCAAACGGAAGAUAAUUUUAUUGAUGAUAAUGAUGAUGAAUAUGAAUAUGAUAAUGACAAUGAUACAGUUAUUGAUGAUUAUUUAAAUACAGAAAAAUCAAAAAUAAUAGUAACUACAGUACCAUCUCUUCGAUUAGAUGCUAUUGCUAAAGCUGGAUUUGGAAUGUCACGAGCAAAAGUAGAUAGAGAAUUUUAUAUGAGUAAUAUACGUGUAAAUGGAAAAAAAUGUUUUAAAAAAGGAAUAAAGGUUAAUCUUGGAGAUGAAAUAGAUUUUAUUCAGAAACGAAGUCCUGAUAAUUCAAAUUAUUUAAUAAUAAAUCGAUGUAUAUUAUUAUCAAUUAAGACGGAACAAAAAGAAGAUUUUAAAAUAAAAUUACUUCAAAAUAAAUCUUUAUUAAUUGAAGAAUAUAAAGAUAAAUGGCAUAAUGAUACAACUAAUUAAAAAUAAUUAAUUAUUUAAUGAUUGAUUAAGAGAGUAUGCAAUUUAUUUAUGUAUAAAAUUGAUAUAUAAUAUAUAUAUAUAUAUAUAUAUAUAUAUAUAUAUAUAUGAUACAUAUAUAAUAAAAAAAUAUAUUAAUAAUUAACAUGUAAUAAUUGUAUAAAAUUAUAUAAAAAUAGAAUAUAUAAAUGAAUAGUAUAAAUUUCAAACAUAAUUUUUAAUAAUAAUAUAUAUAUAAUUCAAAAAGAAAUUAUUUUUCUAAAAGAAAAGCUAUUCAUAUUUUAUUGAAUGUUUAUUCAUAUUUGUUAAUGUACUUUCUAUAAUUUUAUUGCACUGAAAAAAAAAAUUUAAUUUGAAAUUAUAUUUUACAUUUAUAUAAAAUAAUAUUUAGUAUACUUACAUAAGCUAUACAAAGUAUUCCACUUGAACAUAAGUUAUUCAAAUUUUCUAAUAUUUUUGUAAUAUUAGAUGUGCAUUUAAUUUUCUAUAAAAUAUAGAAUAUGUAAAUAUAUAUAAUAUAUAUGAAUAAUAUAUGUAAACUGAUAUAUAAAAUCACAAUUAAUAUAUAAUAUUUUAUUAGUUAAAUAAAAUACAAAAAUACUUACUUCCAAAACAAAUAUUGUAUCAUCAUCAUUUAAAAAUGGCAGAAAUGCAAGUACUAAAUGUAAUUGCUGGCAUUGAAAACAAUAUUUUAUAAUGUUAGAGAAAUUUAAUGCAUAUAAAACUGGACAUGAAUAUAAAAGUUGCAAAGCUUCAAUACAAUUUUCAAUUUGUUCAGAAGUCGGAUUCAUAUCCAUUUUUUUGAAAGGUUCUGAAAUUAUUACUUCCCAUCCAAAUAAAUAUCCAUUAGAAUUUACAAUAGUAUUUAUAUUUUGUACUUGUAAUAAAAUUGUUUUUAAUUCAUUAAUCUGCAAAUAUAAUAAAAAUAUAUUAAU
RNA transcript from Apis cerana (Asiatic honeybee), 6863 nucleotides. It is a transcript of the gene named Rac family small GTPase Mtl, with no coding region annotated. Lineage: Eukaryota; Metazoa; Arthropoda; Insecta; Hymenoptera; Apidae. The record is from RefSeq and is a predicted model, not a curated record.